This 214-nucleotide ribosomal RNA is filed under the name Anabaenopsis sp. FSS-46. RNAcentral describes it as "partial 16S ribosomal RNA". It matches the Rfam family "Bacterial small subunit ribosomal RNA", at positions 1 to 244 of the family's 1533-position model. The record is from RNAcentral. Lineage: Bacteria; Bacillati; Cyanobacteriota; Cyanophyceae; Nostocales; Nodulariaceae.
AAAACGGAGAGUUUGAUCCUGGCUCAGGAUGAACGCUGGCGGUAUGCUUAACACAUGCAAGUCGAACGGUCUUUUCGGAGAUAGUGGCGGACGGGUGAGUAACGCGUGAGAAUCUAGCUUCAGGUCGGGGACAACCACUGGAAACGGUGGCUAAUACCGGAUAUGCCGAGAGGUGAAAGGCUAGCUGCCUGAAGAUGAGCUCGCGUCUGAUUAG